UACGUAGGGACAAGCGUUGUCCGGAAUCACUGGGCGUAAAGGGCGACGCAGGCGGUCUAUCAAGCAGGAUGUGAAAGGCAGGAGCUCAACUCCUUGCACGGCAACCUGAACUGACAGACUAGAGUAUUGGAGAGGCAGGCAGAAUUCCUGGUGUAGCGGUGAAAUGCGUAGAGAUCAGGAGGAAUACCGGAGGCGAAGGCGGCCUGCUGGACAAAUACUGACGCUGAGGUGCGAAAGCGUGGGGAGGCAAACA
This 253-nucleotide ribosomal RNA is filed under the name uncultured prokaryote. RNAcentral's name for it is "partial 16S ribosomal RNA". It matches the Rfam family "Bacterial small subunit ribosomal RNA", at positions 524 to 774 of the family's 1533-position model. The record is from RNAcentral.